UACGUAGGGGGCAAGCGUUGUCCGGAUUUAUUGGGCGUAAAGAGCGUGUAGGCGGCCAGAUAGGUCCGUUGUGAAAACUCGAGGCUCAACCUCGAGACGCCGAUGGAAACCAUUUGGCUAGAGUCCGGAAGAGGAGAGUGGAAUUCCUGGUGUAGCGGUGAAAUGCGUAGAUAUCGGAAGGAACACCAGUGGCGAAAGCGGCUUCCUGGUCCAGCACCGACAUUCAGGCACGAAAGCGUGGGGAGCAAACAGG
Molecule: ribosomal RNA, 253 nt
Filed under: uncultured bacterium
Lineage: Bacteria
Description: partial 16S ribosomal RNA
Rfam family: Bacterial small subunit ribosomal RNA
Source: RNAcentral